This 2062-nucleotide long non-coding RNA is filed under the name Marmota monax (woodchuck). The record is from RNAcentral. Lineage: Eukaryota; Metazoa; Chordata; Mammalia; Rodentia; Sciuridae.
GGCUGCGGAUAUAAGAGGCGGGGCCGGGCAGGCUGACUGUUGGUAUCGCGUGGAGUUGGGCUUUUGCUUUCCUAGACCUUAGUCCGUGGGACGCUCGAGCUGCUGCCGGUCGAAGGACUUGCCUUCCGAUUCCUGUGCGACCAGCUGUGACCGUUUGCGGGCCACUCCCGGCCUUCCCCCUCGAGGUGAGUGGCUUUCCCGGCUCCCCGCCCCCAUCCUCCGAGCUGCGUGCUGGGCUGGCCGCCUCGUGGACUGGGGCUGGGCCGCCAGGAGCUUUGGCUUCUUGUCUCUACCAGUCAGCCGCCCCAACCCGUUUUCCUCUAAAAUGGACUGGGUUUCCGGUAGCCCACCCCUUGCUUGCUGGUGUUUGGAUUAGGCGUCCCUGUCACGCCCCCCAAAAGCACCCUCAGCAUAUUUUUCCUAUCCUAGCGUGUAGCUUGUUGUGUCGUAACUAACUGUCCAGUGAGGGCAUGGUUUGAGUCUGUGGGGUUAUCUUGUGGCCCUAGUACCUUCUGGGGUGCCUUACACUCUUAAGUAUUCAGGGUAUAUUUCUUGAGUAAAUGAACUGAUAGAUUUGACUCUUAAGGUUAUUUUAACUUUCAAAAAAUUUAUGAUUAACUGGAAUCUAACAGUAAAAUGGGAGAGACUUCUUGGUAAGUUGCCUUGUCUAGGGUAUGUUCUUAUAUUUCCCCCUUUCCCCUGCAAGAAGGCUCUACCUCUGCUACAGGUAGCUGCACUGUAGCAUAGGGUCUGUGCAUUGUACCUGCCAAGAACAGUCUUAAAGAGAAGUAGAAGUUUUAAGUAGUACUCUUCAAUUAGAGAAGCAAGUGAGGCUCUACAGUAGUGGAGUUUGCAGUGCAAAUUUAUGUACUUGGAGAUUUUGUUGUGGGAAAACUGUUGGCCACUGACUCCCUGGCUGGCCAAGCCUCUCAUUUACUCCUGGGAGGACAGAAGUGUUGGGGCAUGAUGCAUGUAGAUCUCCAAAGGCUGAAGAUUAACCCCUUCCUUUCUUUCCUCAGGAUCCAGAGACCAUCCAGAAGUAGAAGGCAGCACUACUGCUCUGCAAAGGAGUGGGGUACUUUCAGCCAUGAAGAAUAUGUUGAUCCUUUACCUGCUAGGUGUGGUGUUGACCCUACUGUCCGUCUUUGUUAGACUGAUGGAGACUUUGGGGGCCUUAGUGGAGAGCCCAUUGCCAGGGAGUACAUGGAACACCAGAGGUCAACUAACCAACACAGAGUCCCCCAAGGGCCUACCAGACCAUCAAUCCAGAGGGGUGCAGUAAAACCAUCCUCUGCAUCAGCCAUACCUUGGAACAUAGACCUCAGCAAUGCCAGGCAAGUUUCCCAUUUACUAGCAGGCAAGCUCACACCACCAGUGUUUCCAGAGAACUGUUACUAGGCACAGACAGACCUGUUUGGAUAUGCUCCUUGCCCUGGGGGGUGGGGGGAGCCUGUUUAAUGCACAGAUGUGCAUGGGUUGCCUAUGGCUACGGGAUGGAGUGAACUUGCCCUUCUCCCCAGGAUCGGCUGUAUGCUUUGCUGUCCUUCACUGUGUGGAUCUUGACACAUCUGAGAUGUGGACUUGUGCUGCACUUUCAGCUGUUGGGAGAUGGUGGUGUUUUCAAUCCAGCAUCCUAAACAUCUGCCAAAGGUUUCUUUGGACAUGAAUGUCUUGUGGUCAGUUUAUUUGGUGGUCAGUUUUUUCUUCCUGAGAGCGCCUCUGUUUCUGGGUAACUAUUAAGGUGUGUGCAUUGGCUACAAGGAAGGAGAUGAUAGAAUAUCCACUGUUUAAUUCUCAUUGUCCUAUAUUUUUGUAAGUUCUUUCUCCAACAUAGAGUGCAUGUGUUUGUGUAUGUUGGUCUGAAGAGGGCAGUGGGAUGACAAAGCCUGCUUAGAAUGUGGGCAUUUUGGCCACUAUGUGGUUUAAAUGAAUUUUUUGAUGCAAUAAAGUUGAAAAAGUAUUUCCACUGUGUUAUUUUGACUUCUGACCUUGAAAUUAGUGAUAGGGAAGAGUUUUAAUUCCUAGUCUAAGGAUUAACAUCUUAAAACUUCAGAACAGGAAA